ACGAAGGGGGCUAGCGUUGCUCGGAAUCACUGGGCGUAAAGGGUGCGUAGGUGGAUCUUUAAGUCAGGGGUGAAAUCCUGGAGCUCAACUCCAGAACUGCCUUCGAUACUGGAAAGCUCGAGUCCGGGAGAGGUGAGUGGAACUGCGAGUGUAGAGGUGAAAUUCGUAGAUAUUCGCAAGAACACCAGUGGCGAAGGCGGCUCACUGGCCCGGUACUGACGCUGAGGUGCGAAAGCGUGGGGAGCAAACAGGA
This 253-nucleotide ribosomal RNA is filed under the name uncultured prokaryote. Its description in RNAcentral is "partial 16S ribosomal RNA". It matches the Rfam family "Bacterial small subunit ribosomal RNA", at positions 525 to 777 of the family's 1533-position model. The record is from RNAcentral.